This 1509-nucleotide ribosomal RNA is filed under the name metagenome. Its description in RNAcentral is "bacterial LSU rRNA". It matches the Rfam family "Bacterial large subunit ribosomal RNA", at positions 1274 to 2911 of the family's 2925-position model. The record is from RNAcentral.
AGAUCAGAUCAGAAGCGAGAAUGUUGACAUGAGUAGCGAUAAAGAGGGUGAGAGACCCUCUCGCCGUAAGUCCAAGGGUUCCUGCUUAAAGCUAAUCUGAGCAGGGUAAGCCGGCCCCUAAGGCGAGGCCGAAAGGCGUAGUCGAUGGGAACCAGGUUAAUAUUCCUGGGCCAGGAGGAAGUGACGGAUCUCGAAGGUAGUUUGCCCUUAUCGGAUUGGGUGGGCUGCUCAGAGGUUCCAGGAAAUAGCCCUCCAUCAGACCGUACCCUAAACCGACACAGGUGGACUGGUAGAGUAUACCAAGGCGCUUGAGAGAACCACGUUAAAGGAACUCGGCAAAAUGCCUCCGUAAGUUCGCGAGAAGGAGGCCCCAUAUGUGCGCAAGCAUGUGUGGGGGGCACAAGCUAGGGGGUGGCGACUGUUUACUUAAAACACAGGGCUGUGCGAAGCCGUAAGGCGACGUAUACAGUCUGACGCCUGCCCGGUGCUGGAAGGUUAAAAGGAGGGGUGCAAGCUCUGAAUUGAAGCCCCAGUAAACGGCGGCCGUAACAAUAACGGUCCUAAGGUAGCGAAAUUCCUUGUCGGGUAAGUUCCGACCUGCACGAAUGGCGUAACGAUCUCCCCGCUGUCUCUAACGUGGACUCAGCGAAAUUGAGCUGUGUGUCAAGAUGCACACUACCCGCGGUUAGACGGAAAGACCCCAUGCACCUUUACUCCAGCUUUGCACUGGUAUCAGGAUUGUGAUGUGCAGGGUAGGUGGUAGGCAUCGAAGCGGGGACGCCAGUUCUCGUGGAGCCUCCCUUGAGAUACCACCCUUCGCCAUCUUGAUAUCUAACCGCGGCCCGUUAUCCGGGUCCGGGACCCUGCAUGGUGGGGAGUUUGACUGGGGCGGUCGCCUCCCAAACAGUAACGGAGGCGCGCGAAGGUAGGCUCAGACCGGUCGGAAAUCGGUCGUUGAGUGCAAUGGCAGAAGCCUGCCUGACUGCAAGUCUGACAAGACGAGCAGAGACGAAAGUCGGUCAUAGUGAUCCGGUGGUCCCAAGUGGGAGGGCCAACGCUCAACGGAUAAAAGGUACGCUGGGGAUAACAGGCUGAUGAUGCCCAAGAGUCCAUAUCGACGGCAUCGUUUGGCACCUCGAUGUCGGCUCAUCUCAUCCUGGGGCUGGAGCAGGUCCCAAGGGUAUGGCUGUUCGCCAUUUAAAGAGGUACGUGAGCUGGGUUUAGAACGUCGUGAGACAGUUCGGUCCCUAUCUGCCGUGGGUGUAGGAGACUUGAGAAGAGUUGCCCCUAGUACGAGAGGACCGGGGUGAACGAACCACUGGUGGACCAGUUGUCGUGCCAACGGCAGUGCUGGGUAGCUAUGUUCGGACAGGAUAACCGCUGAAGGCAUCUAAGCGGGAAGCCCCCUUCAAAACAAGGUCUCCCUUGAGAGCCGUGGAAGACCACCACGUCGAUAGGCCGGAGGUGUAAGUGCAGCAAUGCAUUCAGCUGACCGGUACUAAUUGCUCU